This 67-nucleotide transfer RNA is filed under the name Tremoctopus violaceus. Its description in RNAcentral is "tRNA-Met". The record is from RNAcentral. Lineage: Eukaryota; Metazoa; Mollusca; Cephalopoda; Octopoda; Tremoctopodidae.
AGUAAAGUAAGCUAAGAUAAGCUGUUGGGUUCAUACCUCAAUUAUAGAUUCAGUAUUCUCUUUAUUA